This 403-nucleotide ribosomal RNA is filed under the name uncultured prokaryote. RNAcentral's name for it is "bacterial SSU rRNA". It matches the Rfam family "Bacterial small subunit ribosomal RNA", at positions 355 to 774 of the family's 1533-position model. The record is from RNAcentral.
UGAGGAAUAUUGCGCAAUGGACGGAAGUCUGACGCAGCAACGCCGCGUGAGCGAAGAAGGCCUUCGGGUCGUAAAGCUCUUUUCUGAGGGACGAGGAAGGACGGUACCUCAGGAAUCAGUCUCGGCUAACUACGUGCCAGCAGCCGCGGUAAAACGUAGGAGGCAAGCGUUAUCCGGAUUUAUUGGGCGUAAAGCGCAUGCAGGUGGUUCCGCAAGUCGGAUGUAAAAGCUCCUGGCUUAACUGGGAGAGGUCGUUCGAAACUGCGGGACUGGAGGUCGGAAGAGGGAAGCGGAAUUCCCGGUGUAGUGGUGGAAUGCGUAGAUAUCGGGAGGAACACCAGUGGCGAAAGCGGCUUCCUGGUCCGCACCUGACACUCAGAUGCGAAAGCGUGGGGAGCGAACG